Molecule: long non-coding RNA, 524 nt
Organism: Fundulus heteroclitus (mummichog)
Lineage: Eukaryota; Metazoa; Chordata; Actinopteri; Cyprinodontiformes; Fundulidae
Exons: 3
Source: RefSeq, a predicted model, not a curated record
GCGUCGGAGGCGGAUGAGUCCCUGAUUGAUGGAGAUAUCCGCCAUCUUCCCAGAUGUUCCCAUAAUGCUCGAAAACAGGACUGGACGCAACAACAGGGCGGAUUCCAGACAGCCAAAAAACCAAAAACCAACCCAAGCAGUGUUGGCAGAGGGGGCCUUGGAAGAAGGUUUAAGACUUUUGGAGGGCAAAAGUCCAAAAGAACAAAGUUCAGCUGGGCAACCCUGGGCUCAUCCCAUGCAGGCAUGGAAGUCUAGAGGCCAGCAGCACUGGUGCAGGGCUUAUGGAGGCUGGCGACGUCUGAAGUGGAGGGGCCCGGAGAACCACUGCAUCUUGGCAGGCUUGGCGUCAGACGGGACCUGGAGCUUGGCAGCUGCCCCUCUAUAACUGGAUCUGAGGCGUACGGCAGACCCUCAGUUGAUGUGGUGAAAGGAACAGAAAGCCACUGAUGUGUUUGACAGGGUAAUCAGAGACUAGGCAAGGCAGCACAAUAAAGAAUGCUGGACCCUUCCUUCCUGCCAGGUUA